GCCGGGCAUGGUGGCUCAUGCCUGUAAUACCAGCACCUUGGGAGGCUGAGGCGGGCGGAUCACCUGAGGUCAGGAGUUUGAGACCAGCCUGGCCAACAUGGUGAAACCCCGUCUCUA
Non-coding RNA from Pan troglodytes (chimpanzee), 117 nucleotides. It matches the Rfam family "Metazoan signal recognition particle RNA". From Rfam's summary of the family: The signal recognition particle (SRP) is a universally conserved ribonucleoprotein. It is involved in the co-translational targeting of proteins to membranes. Lineage: Eukaryota; Metazoa; Chordata; Mammalia; Primates; Hominidae. The record is from Rfam.